RNAcentral lists this ribosomal RNA (1356 nucleotides) under metagenome. Its description in RNAcentral is "bacterial LSU rRNA". It matches the Rfam family "Bacterial large subunit ribosomal RNA", at positions 1564 to 2925 of the family's 2925-position model. The record is from RNAcentral.
UGAGUACGAGAUGCUACGGCGUCGAAGCAGUGUAUGUCAGGCUUCCAAGAAAAGCUCGCAAUGUCAUAAGUAACUAAUGCCUGUACCAUAACCGACACAGGUGGGUAGGUAGAGUAUACUAAGGGGCGCGAGAUAACUCUCUCUAAGGAACUCGGCAAAAUAACUCCGUAACUUCGGGAGAAGGAGUGCCUUAUUUAUUAAGGUUGCAAUAACAAGAUCCAAGCAACUGUUUAUCAAAAACACAGGUCUCCGCUAAGUCGUAAGACGAUGUAUGGGGGCUGACGCCUGCCCAGUGCCAGAAGGUUAAAGAAGUCGGUUAGCUCUGCGAAGCUGAUAACUGAAGCCCUGGUGAACGGCGGCCGUAACUAUAACGGUCCUAAGGUAGCGAAAUUCCUUGUCGGGUAAGUUCCGACCCGCACGAAAGGCGUAAUGAUUUGGAUACUGUCUCGGAGAGGGACUCGGUGAAAUAGACUUGUCUGUGAAGAUGCGGACUACCUGCACCAGGACAGAAAGACCCUCUGAAGCUUUACUGUAACUUGAAAUUGAAAUUGGACUUUAUUUGCGCAGUAUAGGUGGGAGGCGUUGAGACUAAUCUUGCGGGAUUUUUGGAGCCAUCAGUGAGAUACCACUCCUAUAAUGUUAGAUUUCUAACUUUGUAUCAUGAUCUGGUCAAAGAACAGUUUCAGGCGGGCAGUUUGACUGGGGCGGUCGCCUCCCAAAUGGUAACGGAGGCGUACAAAGGUUUCCUCUGAACGGGUAGAAAUCGUAUCUAGAGUGUAAAGGCAUAAGGAAGCUUGACUGCGAGACUGACAAGUCGAGCAGGUACGAAAGUAGGUCUUAGUGAUCUGGCGAUGCCGAGUGGAAGGGUCGUCACUUAACGGACAAAAGGUACUCCGGGGAUAACAGGCUGAUUUUGCCCAAGAGUUCACAUCGACGGCAAAGUUUGGCACCUCGAUGUCGGCUCAUCGCAUCCUGGGGCUGGAGCAGGUCCCAAGGGUAUGGCUGUUCGCCAUUUAAAGCGGUACGUGAGCUGGGUUCAGAACGUCGCGGGACAGUUCGGUCCCUAUCUGCCACGAGCGUUGGUUGUUUGAGAGGAUCUGUUUUUAGUACGAGAGGACCGAAAUGGACGAACCUCUGGUGUACCAGUUAUCCUGCCAAGGGUAAGUGCUGGGUAGCUACGUUCGGACGGGAUAACCGCUGAAAGCAUCUAAGUGGGAAGCCCCCCUCAAGAUGAGACAACCCUGACUCUUUAAGAGUCCUGAAGGAACCUGGGAGAAUACCAGGUUGAUAGGCCGGCUGUGGAAGUGUGGAAACAUAUGCAGCAGACCGGUACUAAUUUUCCGUGAGGCUUGACCG